GACGAACGCUGGCGGCGUGCUUAACACAUGCAAGUCGAACGGAAAGGCCCUGCUUUUGUGGGGUGCUCGAGUGGCGAACGGGUGAGUAACACGUGAGUAACCUGCCCUUGACUUUGGGAUAACUUCAGGAAACUGGGGCUAAUACCAGAUAGGAGCUCCUGCUGCAUGGUGGGGGUUGGAAAGUUUCGGCGGUUGUGGAUGGACUCGCGGCUUAUCAGCUUGUUGGUGGGGUAGUGGCUUACCAAGGCUUUGACGGGUAGCCGGCCUGAGAGGGUGACCGGCCACAUUGGGACUGAGAUACGGCCCAGACUCCUACGGGAGGCAGCAGUGGGGAAUAUUGCACAAUGGGCGGAAGCCUGAUGCAGCAACGCCGCGUGCGGGAUGACGGCCUUCGGGUUGUAAACCGCUUUCGCCUGUGACGAAGCGUGAGUGACGGUAAUGGGUAAAGAAGCACCGGCUAACUACGUG
Molecule: ribosomal RNA, 468 nt
Filed under: uncultured bacterium
Lineage: Bacteria
Description: partial 16S ribosomal RNA
Rfam family: Bacterial small subunit ribosomal RNA
Source: RNAcentral